RNAcentral lists this ribosomal RNA (324 nucleotides) under uncultured eukaryote. RNAcentral describes it as "partial 18S ribosomal RNA". It matches the Rfam family "Eukaryotic small subunit ribosomal RNA", at positions 1470 to 1796 of the family's 1831-position model. The record is from RNAcentral.
CCCUUAGAUGUUCUGGGCUGCACGCGCGCUACACUGAAGCUAUCAACACGUUUUCCCUCCCUGAGAAGGGCGGGUAACCUUUUGAAUCAGCUUCGUGGUAGGGAUCGGGGCUUGUAAUUGUUCCCCGUGAACCAGGAAUUCCUAGUAGACGCGAGUCAUAAGCUCGCAUCGAUUAAGUCCCUGCCCUUUGUACACACCGCCCGUCGCUACUACCGAUUGAACGUUUUAGUGAGGCAUUUGGACCGACGCAUCUCAGUUUAACCGCUGGUUUGUGUUGGAAAGACUUCCAAACUUGAGCGUUUAGAGGAAGUAAAAGUCGUAACA